Molecule: long non-coding RNA, 573 nt
Organism: Xenia sp. Carnegie-2017
Lineage: Eukaryota; Metazoa; Cnidaria; Anthozoa; Malacalcyonacea; Xeniidae
Exons: 2
Source: RefSeq, a predicted model, not a curated record
AAAUUACGAGUUGUUUUCUUAAAAUACAUUGGAGUGAUCAAUAUUUCAACUAAUUGCCGAACAGAAAGCUCUACAAGCAGACUCAAUGGUUUUGAAAUCGUAAUAAGAAACAGGCACAUUCCUUCGAAAUAAGUAGUGCUGGCACAACAUUUUAAUCGAUGUCGUAAAGUUUUGCGAAUACAAUGCAAACGUGUCGAUCUCGUUCCGAUCGAGUGAGCGACUUAAACUGUUGCUUCAUCCAAAUAUCAAUUACUGAUAUCAUGCCGAUCAAUAAUCCAGCGACGCAGGAAAUAUCGCCUCAGCUUGUAUACGUAAAAAUUGCUUGCACCGUGUGCGCAAAGGAAAAUACAAUAUGCUAGUUGAACAGUGGUAUCUAUAGACAAGUAUUUAAUUGAAAACUUCCUAUAUUGACCAAGCACAUUAGACCUUAUCGACUAAUUUAUGCAUACAUGCCAAUGUAUCAAAAUCGUUAAUCUUUCUAACCUCAAAUGUGGUUACUCAUCCCAAAGAAUAAACAAUUUAUGACUUGGAUACGAAGAUAGGCAAAUGUGCAGUUCAAUAAAUAAUAACAAA